This is a long non-coding RNA of Bufo bufo (common toad), 154 nucleotides long. RefSeq lists it as uncharacterized. The record is from RefSeq and is a predicted model, not a curated record. NCBI's taxonomy places the organism in Eukaryota, Metazoa, Chordata, Amphibia, Anura, Bufonidae. The transcript has 3 exons.
CUGGCCAGCAUAGGAUGAGGGGAGUAGACAACCCAAUUUGCAAUCAGACUUACAGAGGUGGUCUGAGCAUGAACAGUACCCGUCCCCACGGGGGAACAAUUACUAUUAGGGGUGCCCAGAACGAGUCCCAUCCUUCAUCAUGCAUUUUGUUCCA